RNAcentral lists this ribosomal RNA (506 nucleotides) under uncultured bacterium. RNAcentral describes it as "partial 16S ribosomal RNA". It matches the Rfam family "Bacterial small subunit ribosomal RNA", at positions 30 to 523 of the family's 1533-position model. The record is from RNAcentral.
AUUGAACGCUGGCGGCAGGCUUAACACAUGCAAGUCGAGCGGUAACAGAGAGAAGCUUGCUUCUCUGCUGAUGAGCGGCGGACGGGUGAGUAAUGCCUAGGAAUCUGCCUAGUAGUGGGGGAUAACUUGCCGAAAGGUAAGCUAAUACCGCAUACGUCCUACGGGAGAAAGGAGGGGACCUUCGGGCCUUACGCUAUUAGAUGAGCCUAGGUCGGAUUAGUUAGUUGGUGAGGUAAUGGCUCACCAAGACCGCGAUCCGUAACUGGUCUGGGAGGAGUAUCAGUUACACUGGAACGGAGAGACGGUCCAGAGUCCUACGGGAGGCAGCAGUGGGGAAUAUUGGACAAUGGGGGGAACCCUGAUCCAGCCAUGCCGCGUGUGUGAAGAAGGUCUUGGGAUUGUAAAGCACUUUAAGUUGGGAGGAAGAGCAGUUAACUAAUAUUUGACUGUUUUGACGUUACCGACAGAAUAAGCACCGGCUAACUUCGUGCCAGCCGCCGCCGUAA